AGAGUUUGAUCAUGGCUCAGGAUGAACGCUGGCGGUAUGCCUAACACAUGCAAGUCGAACGAUGUCUUCGGACAUAGUGGCGGACGGGUGAGUAACGCGUGAGAAUCUGCCUCUAGGAUGGGGAUAACGGUUGGAAACGACCGCUAACACCCAAUAUGCCGUAAGGUGAAAAAUUUAUUGCCUGGAGAGGAGCUCGCGUCUGAUUAGCUAGUUGGUGGGGUAAGAGCUCACCAAGGCCUCGAUCAGUAGCUGGUCUGAGAGGAUGAGCAGCCACACUGGGACUGAGACACGGCCCAGACUCCUACGGGAGGCAGCAGUGGGGAAUUUUCCGCAAUGGGCGAAAGCCUGACGGAGCAAUACCGCGUGAGGGAGGAAUGCCUUUGGGUUGUAAACCUCUUUUCUCAGGGAAGAAGAUCUGACGGUACCUGAGGAAUAAGUAUCGGCUAACUCCGUGCCAGCAGCCGCGGUAAUACGGAGGAUGCAAGCGUUAUCCGGAAUCAUUGGGCGUAAAGCGUCCGCAGGUGGUUUCCAAAGUCUGCUGUUAAAGACUGGAGCUCAACUCCGGAACGGCGGUGGAAACUUGGAAACUAGAGUUCGGUAGGGGUAGCAGGAAUUCCCAGUGUAGCGGUGAAAUGCGUAGAUAUUGGGAAGAACAUCGGUGGC
This 663-nucleotide ribosomal RNA is filed under the name uncultured marine microorganism. RNAcentral's name for it is "bacterial SSU rRNA". It matches the Rfam family "Bacterial small subunit ribosomal RNA", at positions 8 to 716 of the family's 1533-position model. The record is from RNAcentral.